This 427-nucleotide ribosomal RNA is filed under the name uncultured bacterium. RNAcentral describes it as "bacterial SSU rRNA". It matches the Rfam family "Bacterial small subunit ribosomal RNA", at positions 355 to 774 of the family's 1533-position model. The record is from RNAcentral.
UAGGGAAUAUUGGACAAUGGGGGCAACCCUGAUCCAGCCAUGCCGCGUGAGUGAAGAAGGCCCUCGGGUUGUAAAGCUCUUUUGUCCGGAAAGAAAAGCUUCGGGUUAAUACCCCGGGGUUCUGACGGUACCGGAAGAAUAAGCACCGGCUAACUUCGUGCCAGCAGCCGCGGUAAUACGAAGGGUGCAAGCGUUACUCGGAAUUACUGGGCGUAAAGCGUGCGUAGGUGGUUGUUUAAGUCUGAUGUGAAAGCCCUGGGCUCAACCUGGGAAUGGCAUUGGAAACUGGGCAGCUAGAGUGCGGUAGAGGGUAGUGGAAUUCCCGGUGUAGCAGUGAAAUGCGUAGAGAUCGGGAGGAACAUCUGUGGCGAAGGCGACUGCCUGGACCAGCACUGACACUGAGGCACGAAAGCGUGGGGAGCAGACA